CAUUGUAUUUUUAAAUCCUAUCCCAUAUUGUGCCCAUACCAAUAUGUUUCGUAGUAAUUCUUCGAAAUCGUUGGACUGCGACGAAGAAUACGCCGAGACAAUAUUAAUCCAAAGCCCUUUUGUGGAAACUACGCGGGCGGGAAAACAUUUAAGCUCUGUGAUAAUUUCCCUUACACCGAGAAAAUUAAUGGUUAAAACGUCAAAUGCCCAGAAUCUCUUAACACGGUCAGAUGAAUCAUUGUCGUUCGAUUAUUUUUACCCACUCGACACAACCACACUCACAGUAUUCAAAAAAAGCAAACGACAAUCUAUUAAACUCUGUUUUAAUAUGAUAACCACGAGAUAUUUUGAAUUAGGACAAUGGAGCAAAAGACGGGUAUUUUGGAAGUUGUGGUGUAUUCACGUUGUGGAAUUAAAUACGGAAAAGCUCAAGUGGCCAUUCGUACAAUCGCAGAACAACUCAAAAUAUACCGAUGCUGACGAUGUUUUGAGUAAAAAGAAGACCAUAAAAUGGACGGACAAAUACUUAUAUUUGGGUUCAAAAAGGGAGGCGGAAGACAACAAUCGACCUAAACCUGUCCCAGGACUCGGCCCUCCCGAGAAUAUCAAGUUAUUGUACUUGAAACAGAAAUAUUUUGGGUGCUGGGAUCAGUCGGAGCAUUGGGUGCAGUGCGACAGUAACUCUUCGUCGCAUUUACGUGAUAAGUGAUGCAUAGGAAGAUACUUAUCUAAAGAAAGGUAUAUUUUAACGUAUACUUAGCAAAAUUAGAAUUUGAGUUAGAGAGCGCCAAUUUUAAAAAGUUUGAACUAAAAUAAUCCUAUCUUUGAUUUAUGAUAUCAUACAUGGAUUCCUACCUACUACUUACUUCUUAAUAUCAUAGUCGCGCUUGUUUUACUCUGAAAUUCUAAAUCUAACACUUAUUUGGGAGUAAGUAGGUAAUCAAUAGAUGAAUAGACUCAUGGUGAGUGGUGGUGU
Long non-coding RNA from Ostrinia nubilalis (European corn borer), 976 nucleotides. RefSeq lists it as uncharacterized. Lineage: Eukaryota; Metazoa; Arthropoda; Insecta; Lepidoptera; Crambidae. The transcript has 4 exons. The record is from RefSeq and is a predicted model, not a curated record.